This is a small nuclear RNA of Xenopus laevis (African clawed frog), 184 nucleotides long. RefSeq annotates it as U2 spliceosomal RNA. The transcript has a single exon. NCBI's taxonomy places the organism in Eukaryota, Metazoa, Chordata, Amphibia, Anura, Pipidae. The record is from RefSeq and is a predicted model, not a curated record.
AGUGUUUCUCGGGCUUGAUUGGUAAGAUCAAGUGUAGUAUCUGUUCAUUAUCAGAUUUAUAUCUGAUACGUACCACUAAAUCUGGGGACUCAUAUAUAUUAAAUGAGAUUUUUGGCAACAGAGGAGAUGAAAGAAAAAAGUCUUGGCUCUUGAUCCUGCCAGGCAAUAUCAGACCUGAGUAAUU